Molecule: long non-coding RNA, 2301 nt
Organism: Peromyscus californicus insignis
Lineage: Eukaryota; Metazoa; Chordata; Mammalia; Rodentia; Cricetidae
Exons: 2
Source: RefSeq, a predicted model, not a curated record
CUUUGUCUCCUACUUGGAGGAUGGAGGAACCUUUGGUCCCAUCCCUCUUGUCGAUCGUGAUCCUCUAGCUUUUCUUUUACAAUCCCAGGAGCUGCGUGAGGUCUUGAGUUCCCAUGCUGCGUGGACCCGCUUUCCUUCCUGCUCUGUCUGUAGCUGAGCUCUUUGAUCCUUUUUGAAGGCUAUUUGACUGUUCCUGAAGAAAAUAGUUUGCGUCCAAAGGGCAAGGUUAAAUUCAGCCCUCUCAGACCAUGUAGGGACAAGACCUAAUUGAAUCUGAAAUUGUUGGGAAGUAAAAGGCGACCAGCCAAGUCUGGUUUUUGUUGUUGUUGUUGUUUGUUUGUUUGUUUUUUGUUUUUUUUUUAAAUCGUUAAAUCCUGGGAAAAAAGCUUGCAACCUCCCAAAUAAGAGAAAUGACGUCUAGUGACGUCAUCCAACUGCCAUGAAACCAUCCCCUUGUUCAGUUUUCAUGUACAUAGUUGCAAUUUUUUUUUGCAUAGAACAAAAUUCCAUUUGCAUGUUUAAUAGCAUUUAAAAAUUCUAAGAUUUGGGUUUUGUUUCUUAAUAGAAUACAAGUAGCAAGAGAAAAUUAGUAUAAAUAAACGGGCACAGGCCCUUAUAGAUCUCAUCAAGUUAGAAGCUUCCUGGAAUCCAUUCAUCUCCAAUUGACCACUGUUCUAGGCUGUUUUAUGCAGAAAAAUAAUAGGAUUCUGAUUACAAAGAAGGCUUCGUUUAUGGUAGCGUUUUUCAAAAGCAAAAUUUGAUUUGCAGUCUUUAAAUUUUCUUGUAUAAAAAUAAAAAAAGCUCAAAAUGUAAAAGUACUGUGGGCUCAAUCCCACAGCAGUCUUUAGAGGAAAAGAUGGCAAUGAAGUUGUUAGGGUUUUGAUUUUAAAUGUCCCUCAGAGACCUGUACGCUAGUGUUGACUGCCAGCCUCUGAGCGGUAGUGGGGAACGCUGCAUUGGAAGAGCUGGGGUCUGGUUGGAGGCAGUUCCACAACUGAGGGAUGGGAGGUAUUGGAAUUGUCUCAUUCUUUCUCUUUUGCGAGAUGCAUCAUGCCACCACAAGCACAAGGCAACUGUGAACUGAAGCUAAAGAAACCUUCUCAACCUUCAAAGAUUUCCUCAGUGUUUGGUCGAAGCGAUGAAAGCUGACUGACACAGGAAUCAUGUCACCAAUAGAGAACCACAUUGCCAAAGGAGAUUACAAUUAAGAGAUUGCCCUGAGUCUGAAAAGAGACUUCAGACUGUAUUGAGACUGUGAAAGACUAUGGAGACCUUUGAAGUUGAACUAAUGCUUUUUGCAUUAUAAUAUAGAGUAGAAUGUUGUGGUUUCAAUGGAAGUGGCCCUUAUAGGUGCGUAUAUUUGAAUGCUUGGUUCCCAGUUAGUGGAACUGUUUGGGAAGGAUUAGGGGGUGUAGCCUUAUUGUAGGAGAUGUAGCUCACUGGGGGUGAGCUUUGAGGUUUCAAAAGACCACACAGUUCCCAGUUAGUUUUUUGUCUCAUGCUUGUGAGCAGAUGUAAGCUGCCAUGCCCUACUACCUGCUGCCAUGCCCCUGUCAUGAUGGUCAUGGACUCUAAUCCUCUGGAACCAUGAGCCCCCAAAUUAAAUGCUUUCUAUUAUAAAUUGCCUUGGUCAUGGUGUUUUGUUGCAGCAAUAGAAAAGUAAUUAAGAUGAUGAGAACAAAUAUAGCAAAGUUAAAAUGUUUAGGUUCAUCUUCACAGGAAAGGUAAACAUACACAUGUUGCAAUAUUGUAUAGGUUUCACUUGUCAAUCAUUAGAAAUUUUGCUGAUGGUUACGUAAGAGUCAAUAGUCCAAAUCAAUGGCUGAGAAAAUAAGACUGUUAGAAUUGUUAGAGGAUGUCAAAAUCUUUUAAUUCAGUAUUUUCCCAAAUGAGAUGUGCUUUCCACGGAUGCUGUAGGAGAUGAACAUUAGUGGCAUCCAGAGAGACAUUCUUAAUUUUAAUAAUUAUUUUAAUUCAUAUUAGAAAAAUGUAACUUGCACAUAGAAUAUGAGUUUCUUUGGGUGUUUUUACUUAGAAUGAAUUCAAAUGAAGGACACUCAGAUGUCUAGACAUAUUAUCUUUAACUGUCCCUAGCCUGUAUUUGACACAUGAAGAAUAUUCUUGAAGAAACUGAAACUUAAGAUUACAUGUUACAUGAAUUCUAUAUGAAAUCUAGAGAAGACAAAAAUAUGGGAAAGAGAGAAGAUUAAUGGCUGCCCAGGCUGGGGUAAGGGAAACAGAUUCACUGGAUUCUACACUAAAUUUUGUGAAUUAUAAAUAAAGUCUAUGUCUAAAACUGAA